This 126-nucleotide non-coding RNA is filed under the name Echinops telfairi (small Madagascar hedgehog). The record is from RNAcentral. Lineage: Eukaryota; Metazoa; Chordata; Mammalia; Afrosoricida; Tenrecidae.
GUGUUGUAUGAAAGGAGAGGUGCUUAGCAUUCCCCUUGACAAGGAUGGAAGAGGCCCUUGGGCCUUACAAAAUGCAUACGGUUAAGGCAUUGCCACCUACUUUGUGGCAUCUAACCAUGGUUUUAA